RNAcentral lists this ribosomal RNA (692 nucleotides) under uncultured Lachnospiraceae bacterium. RNAcentral's name for it is "bacterial SSU rRNA". It matches the Rfam family "Bacterial small subunit ribosomal RNA", at positions 46 to 740 of the family's 1533-position model. The record is from RNAcentral. Lineage: Bacteria; Bacillati; Bacillota; Clostridia; Lachnospirales; Lachnospiraceae.
GCUUAACACAUGCAAGUCGAACGGGGAACAUUUAUGGAAGCUUCGGUGGAAAUAGCUUGUUCCUAGUGGCGGACGGGUGAGUAACGCGUGGGUAACCUGCCUCACACUGGGGGAUAACAGUCAGAAAUGACUGCUAAUACCGCAUAAGCGCACGGGAUUGCAUGAUCCAGUGUGAAAAACUCCGGUGGUGUGAGAUGGACCCGCGUUGGAUUAGCCAGUUGGCAGGGUAACGGCCUACCAAAGCGACGAUCCAUAGCCGGCCUGAGAGGGUGGACGGCCACAUUGGGACUGAGACACGGCCCAGACUCCUACGGGAGGCAGCAGUGGGGAAUAUUGCACAAUGGGGGAAACCCUGAUGCAGCGACGCCGCGUGAAGGAAGAAGUAUCUCGGUAUGUAAACUUCUAUCAGCAGGGAAGAAAAUGACGGUACCUGACUAAGAAGCCCCGGCUAACUACGUGCCAGCAGCCGCGGUAAUACGUAGGGGGCAAGCGUUAUCCGGAUUUACUGGGUGUAAAGGGAGCGUAGACGGAGCAGCAAGUCUGAUGUGAAAGGCGGGGGCUCAACCCCCGGACUGCAUUGGAAACUGUUGAUCUUGAGUACCGGAGAGGUAAGCGGAAUUCCUAGUGUAGCGGUGAAAUGCGUAGAUAUUAGGAGGAACACCAGUGGCGAAGGCGGCUUACUGGACGGUAAC